UUGCUAAGCUUAUUUUUCCAUUCCGUUGCCACAAUGCAGUCGCGCGGAUGAAGGGAGCUUGCUCCUGGAUUCAGCGGCGGACGGGUGAGUAAUGCCUAGGAAUCUGCCUGGUAGUGGGGGAUAACGUUCCGAAAGGAACGCUAAUACCGCGUACGUCCUACGGGAGAAAGCAGGGGACCUUCGGGCCUUGCGCUAUCAGAUGAGCCUAGGUCGGAUUAGCUAGUUGGUGAGGUAAUGGCUCACCAAGGCGACGAUCCGUAACUGGUCUGAGAGGAUGAUCAGUCACACUGGAACUGAGACACGGUCCAGACUCCUACGGGAGGCAGCAGUGGGGAAUAUUGGACAAUGGGCGAAAGCCUGAUCCAGCCAUGCCGCGUGUGUGAAGAAGGUCUUCGGAUUGUAAAGCACUUUAAGUUGGGAGGAAGGGCUGUAGGCUAAUAUCCUGCGGUUUUGACGUUACCAACAGAAUAAGCACCGGCUAACUUCGUGCCAGCAGCCGCGGUAAUACGAAGGGUGCAAGCGUUAAUCGGAAUUACUGGGCGUAAAGCGCGCGUAGGUGGUUCGUUAAGUUGGAUGUGAAAGCCCCGGGCUCAACCUGGGAACUGCAUCCAAAACUGGCGAGCUAGAGUACGGUAGAGGGUAGUGGAAUUUCCUGUGUAGCGGUGAAAUGCGUAGAUAUAGGAAGGAACACCAGUGGCGAAAGCGACUACCUGGACUGAUACUGACACUGAGGUGCGAAAGCGUGGGGAGCAAACAGGAUUAGAUACCCUGGUAGUCCACGCCGUAAACGAUGUCAACUAGCCGUUGGAAUCCUUGAGAUUUUAGUGGCGCAGCUAACGCAUUAGUUGACCGCCUGGGGGAGUACGGCCGCAAGUAAACUCAAUGAAUUGACGGGGCCGCACAGCGGUGGAGCAUGUGUUUAUUCGAGCACGCGAAGACUACUGCCUGGCUGCUGAACUCCGAUUGGAUGUGCUUCGUAACUUCGAACACCAGAGU
Molecule: ribosomal RNA, 996 nt
Filed under: Pseudomonas sp. SUK1
Lineage: Bacteria; Pseudomonadati; Pseudomonadota; Gammaproteobacteria; Pseudomonadales; Pseudomonadaceae
Description: bacterial SSU rRNA
Rfam family: Bacterial small subunit ribosomal RNA
Source: RNAcentral